UACGGAGGAUCCAAGCGUUAUCCGGAAUUACUGGGCGUAAAGAGUUGCGUAGGUGGCAUAGUAAGUAGGUAGUGAAAGCGUGUGGCUCAACCAUACUCACAUUAUCUAAACUGCUAAGCUAGAAUAUAGAAGAGGUAGCUGGAAUUCCUAGUGUAGGAGUGAAAUCCGUAGAUAUUAGGAGGAACACCAAUGGCGUAGGCAGGCUACUGGUCUAUUAUUGACACUAAGGCACGAAAGCGUGGGGAGCGAACGGG
Molecule: ribosomal RNA, 254 nt
Filed under: uncultured bacterium
Lineage: Bacteria
Description: partial 16S ribosomal RNA
Rfam family: Bacterial small subunit ribosomal RNA
Source: RNAcentral